CAGGGCACCUGAUCAUUCAUGCCGCGUGAGUGAAGAAGGCCUUCGGGUUGUAAAGCUCUUUUGUCAGGGAAGAAACACCGGCUCUAACACAGUCCGGGAAUGACGGUACCUGAAGAAUAAGCACCGGCUAACUACGUGCCAGCAGCCGCGGUAAUACGUAGGGUGCGAGCGUUAAUCGGAAUUACUGGGCGUAAAGCGUGCGCAGGCGGUUAUACAAGACAGGCGUGAAAUCCCCGGGCUUAACCUGGGAAUGGCGCCUGUGACUGUAUGGCUAGAGUGUGUCAGAGGGGGGUAGAAUUCCACGUGUAGCAGUGAAAUGCGUAGAUAUGUGGAGGAAUACCAAUGGCGAAGGCAGCCCCCUGGGAUAACACUGACGCUCAUGCACGAAAGCGUGGGGAGCAAACAGGAUUAGAUACCCUGGUUGUCCACGCCCUAAACGAUGCUGACUAGUUGUUCGGGAUUUACAUCCUGAGUAACGUAGCUAACGCGUGAAGUCAGCCGCCUGGGGAGUACGGUCGCAAGAUUAAAACUCAAAGGAAUUGACGUGGACCCGCACAAGCGGUGGAUGAUGUGGAUUAAUUCGAUGCAACGGGAAAACCUUACU
This 604-nucleotide ribosomal RNA is filed under the name uncultured bacterium. RNAcentral's name for it is "bacterial SSU rRNA". It matches the Rfam family "Bacterial small subunit ribosomal RNA", at positions 372 to 975 of the family's 1533-position model. The record is from RNAcentral.